GAUGAACGCUGGCGGCGUGCCUAAUACAUGCAAGUCGGGCGAACGGACGAGAAGCUUGCUUCUCUGAUGUUAGCGGCGGACGGGUGAGUAACACGUGGAUAACCUACCUAUAAGACUGGGAUAACUUCGGGAAACCGGAGCUAAUACCGGAUAAUAUUUUGAACCGCAUGGGUCAAAAGUGAAAGACGGUCUUGCUGUCACUUAUAGAUGGAUCCGCGCUGCAUUAGCUAGUUGGUAAGGUAACGGCUUACCAAGGCAACGAUGCAUAGCCGACCUGAGAGGGUGGUCGGCCACACUGGAACUGAGACGCGGUCCAGACUCCUACGGGAGGCAGCAGUAGGGAAUCUUCCGCAGUGGGCGAAAGCCUGACGGAGCAACGCCGCGUGAGUGAUGAAGGUCUUCGGAUCGUAAAACUCUGUUAUUAGGGAAGAACAUAUGUGUAAGUAACUGUGCACAUCUUGACGGUACCUAAUCAGAAAGCCACGGCUAACUACGUG
RNAcentral lists this ribosomal RNA (497 nucleotides) under uncultured bacterium. Its description in RNAcentral is "partial 16S ribosomal RNA". It matches the Rfam family "Bacterial small subunit ribosomal RNA", at positions 28 to 507 of the family's 1533-position model. The record is from RNAcentral.